UUUUCUUAAUCUUUUCUAUAAUGAUACAUGCUAGUUAAUUUUAACACCCCAGUGAGUAUAAAAAGUAUAAAAAAUUAAAAGUUAAUUAAACCUUUACGGUAUCAGAAUUUAAUAUAUUCAAAAACACCUAGAAAACCCACACCUGCAGUACUUAAUAUUUAUCAAUAAGUAAAAGCUUGACUAAGUAAUAGAAAAAUGAAUUGGUAAAUUAUGUGCCAGCCACCGCGGUUAUACAUAAAAUUCUAGUUAAGAAAAUACGGUAAAAACUGUGGUAAAAUAUCCCCCCCAUUACACCUGAAAUAGAAAAAAACUUUAGCAGUAAUAAGCUUCACAGUAUUAUAAUCCCAAUUACGCAAAUUCAAUUUCAGAUUAUUGAACCCACUAAAGCUCCAAAAUAAACUGGGAUUAGAUACCCCACUAUAAGAGCAAUAAAACUCAUAACAAAAACCCGAGAACUACGAACUAAAGUUUAAAACUCAAAGGACUUGGCGGUUUUCUAUACCUACCUGGAGGAGCUUGCUAUCUAAC
This 528-nucleotide ribosomal RNA is filed under the name Freyella cf. attenuata RSIOAS037. Its description in RNAcentral is "partial small subunit ribosomal RNA". Lineage: Eukaryota; Metazoa; Echinodermata; Asteroidea; Brisingida; Freyellidae. The record is from RNAcentral.